GCCCACUCAAGCUCAGCUUGGUAUUGGACUUCGUCUCCCCUGUCGGGAGUCGAAUCUCAAAAUCAGCGGCGGUGCAGCCGAUCUCCCAGCGUAGUACAUUUUCUAUCCGCUGUGGCCGGUCCAGUUGACACCCGCCGGACAACCCCACCAAUUUUCUCAAGAUUGACCUCGGAUCAGGUAGGGAUACCCGCUGAACUUAA
This 200-nucleotide unclassified non-coding RNA is filed under the name soil metagenome. RNAcentral describes it as "partial contains internal transcribed spacer 2 and large subunit ribosomal RNA". The record is from RNAcentral.